UACGUAGGGUGCAGGUGUUAAUCGGAAUUACUGGGCGUAAAGCGUGCGCAGGCGGUUUGUUAAGACAGGUGUGAAAUCCCCGGGCUUAACCUGGGAACUGCGCUUGUAACUGGCAAGCUAGAGUGUGGCAGAGGGGGGUGGAAUUCCACGUGUAGCAGUGAAAUGCGUAGAGAUGCGGAGGAACACCGAUGGCGAAGGCAGCCCCCUGGGCUAGCACUGACGCUCAGGCACGAAAGCGUGGGGAGCAAACAGG
Molecule: ribosomal RNA, 253 nt
Filed under: uncultured bacterium
Lineage: Bacteria
Description: partial 16S ribosomal RNA
Rfam family: Bacterial small subunit ribosomal RNA
Source: RNAcentral